RNAcentral lists this transfer RNA (90 nucleotides) under Candidatus Pelagibacter sp. Its description in RNAcentral is "tRNA-Ser". It matches the Rfam family "tRNA". Rfam says of the family: Transfer RNA (tRNA) molecules are approximately 80 nucleotides in length. Their secondary structure includes four short double-helical elements and three loops (D, anti-codon, and T loops). Further hydrogen bonds mediate the characteristic L-shaped molecular structure. tRNAs have two regions of fundamental functional importance: the anti-codon, which is responsible for specific mRNA codon recognition, and the 3' end, to which the tRNAs corresponding amino acid is attached (by aminoacyl-tRNA synthetases). tRNAs cope with the degeneracy of the genetic code in two manners: having more than one tRNA (with a specific anti-codon) for a particular amino acid; and 'wobble' base-pairing, i.e. permitting non-standard base-pairing at the 3rd anti-codon position. The record is from RNAcentral. Lineage: Bacteria; Pseudomonadati; Pseudomonadota; Alphaproteobacteria; Candidatus Pelagibacterales; Candidatus Pelagibacteraceae.
GGAGAGGUGGCCGAGUGGUUGAAGGCGCACGCUUGGAAAGCGUGUAAAUAGGAAACUGUUUCAAGGGUUCGAAUCCCUUUCUCUCCGCCA